AUCCCGGUUUAGUUGGAAGUAGGCGAUGGGUAGGCAAAUCCGCCCGUCAUAUACCGAGGCCAACGAUCGAGCCAGCUUGCUGGUGAAGUGACUGAACGAGGUUCCAGGAAAAGCCACUAAGCUUCAGCUAUACACGACCGUACCGCAAACCGACACUGGUGCGCGAGAUGAGUAUUCUAAGGCGCUUGAGAGAACUCAGGAGAAGGAACUCGGCAAAUUGACACCGUAACUUCGGAAGAAGGUGUGCCCUAUUAGUGUGAAGUGAACAACGGAGCAUGAAUGGGUUGCAAAAAAUCGGUGGCUGCGACUGUUUAUUAAAAACACAGCACUCUGCAAACACGAAAGUGGACGUAUAGGGUGUGACGCCUGCCCGGUGCUGGAAGAUUAAAUGAUGGGGUGCAAGCUCUUGAUUGAAGUCCCAGUAAACGGCGGCCGUAACUAUAACGGUCCUAAGGUAGCGAAAUUCCUUGUCGGGUAAGUUCCGACCUGCACGAAUGGCGUAACGAUGGCCACACUGUCUCCUCCUGAGACUCAGCGAAGUUGAAAUGUUUGUGAUGAUGCAAUCUCCCCGCGGAAAGACGGAAAGACCCCAUGAACCUUUACUGUAGCUUUGUAUUGGACUUUGAACAGAUCUGUGUAGGAUAGGUGGGAGGCUUUGAAGCAGGGUCGCUAGAUCCUGUGGAGCCAACGUUGAAAUACCACCCUGGUGUGUUUGAGGUUCUAACCUAGGUCCAUUAUCUGGAUCGGGGACAGUGCAUGGUAGGCAGUUUGACUGGGGCGGUCUCCUCCCAAAGCGUAACGGAGGAGUUCGAAGGUACGCUAGUUACGGUCGGACAUCGUGACGAUAGUGCAAUGGCAUAAGCGUGCUUAACUGCGAGACUGACAAGUCGAGCAGAUGCGAAAGCAGGACAUAGUGAUCCGGUGGUUCUGUAUGGAAGGGCCAUCGCUCAACGGAUAAAAGGUACUCUGGGGAUAACAGGCUGAUACCGCCCAAGAGUUCAUAUCGACGGCGGUGUUUGGCACCUCGAUGUCGGCUCAUCUCAUCCUGGGGCUGUAGCCGGUCCCAAGGGUAUGGCUGUUCGCCAUUUAAAGAGGUACGUGAGCUGGGUUUAAAACGUCGUGAGACAGUUUGGUCCCUAUCUUCCGUGGGCGCUGCAGAUUUGAGGAAGCCUGCUCCUAGUACGAGAGGACCGGAGUGGACACACCUCUGGUGUAUCGGUUGUCACGCCAGUGGCAUUGCCGAGUAGCUAAGUGUGGAAGAGAUAACCGCUGAAAGCAUCUAAGCGGGAAACUCGUUUCAAGAUGAGAUCUGCCGGGGCCUUGAGCCCCCUGAAGAGUCGUUCAAGACCAGGACGUUGAUAGGGCAGGUGUGGAAGCGCAGUAAUGCGUUAAGCUAACUGAUACUAAUUGCUCGUGCGGCUUGACCCU
RNAcentral lists this ribosomal RNA (1428 nucleotides) under metagenome. Its description in RNAcentral is "bacterial LSU rRNA". It matches the Rfam family "Bacterial large subunit ribosomal RNA", at positions 1504 to 2925 of the family's 2925-position model. The record is from RNAcentral.